RNAcentral lists this ribosomal RNA (255 nucleotides) under uncultured Ruminococcus sp. RNAcentral's name for it is "partial 16S ribosomal RNA". It matches the Rfam family "Bacterial small subunit ribosomal RNA", at positions 28 to 264 of the family's 1533-position model. Lineage: Bacteria; Bacillati; Bacillota; Clostridia; Eubacteriales; Oscillospiraceae. The record is from RNAcentral.
GAUGAACGCUGGCGGCGUGCUUAACACAUGCAAGUCGAACGAAGCACCUUGAUUUGAUUCUUCGGAUGAAGAUCUUGGUGACUGAGUGGCGGACGGGUGAGUAACGCGUGGGUAACCUGCCUCAUACAGGGGGAUAACAGUUAGAAAUGACUGCUAAUACCGCAUAAGACCACAGCACCGCAUGGUGCAGGGGGUAAAAACUCCGGUGGUAUGAGAUGGACCCCGCGUCUGAUUAGGUAGUUGGUGGGUAACGGC